GCGCCCAUAGUUCAACGGAUAGAACGCGGGCCUCCGGAGCCCGAGAUCCAGGUUCGAUUCCUGGUGGGCGCA
RNAcentral lists this transfer RNA (72 nucleotides) under bacterium. Its description in RNAcentral is "tRNA-Arg". It matches the Rfam family "tRNA". From Rfam's summary of the family: Transfer RNA (tRNA) molecules are approximately 80 nucleotides in length. Their secondary structure includes four short double-helical elements and three loops (D, anti-codon, and T loops). The record is from RNAcentral.